UUGACCGCAGCACAUCCGUUUUCCUUACAGUAUGUAGUACGCAUUCUACCUUUUCCUACAAUGAAUCCACCAGCAGAAAUUCCUGUACACAUCUUAUCAACAAAGAAUUUGAACCUCAAAGAGUGGCUCAAAGAGGUCAGGAGGCACCUUCAACACUUUUAUUGGAGAUCUCCUUGUCUAGAUCAUCAGCACUAGGAAAGGAUGCGACCUGGAUGGCAGAUAGCAGACAUCUAGUCACUGAAAAGGAGAUCCUUCACUCUAGGAAAUUGUUAUGCAUGCUCACAGAUUAGUCUCUUACGACUUUGUUUACUGGACAGUCAAUCUCUCUGAGUCCAAUUAAGAUUAUAUUUCUUGUGUACAAAAGAGACCCUAGAUUUGAGUAAAUUCAUCAAAUAUGAAUGUACUACCAUCAAAUUUUUGUGCUACCUCUGGGAAGCCAACUAAUCACCUUUCUUUGUAGUUAUAUAUAACUUUUAUAUCUGCCUCUCAAUUAUUAGCUCUUUGAGGUCAGGAACUGGGUUUUAUCUAUCUGUGUUUUCCAAUAUUCCAAAACAAAGGCUUAAGAAAAUUACACCAAUAAGUUAAAACAUUAGGCAAAAUGGAUAAAUAUGUAAAACAAACAAAGAAAAAACCAAAUUGACACACACACACACAACCAAGAAGUUUAAAUGGUCAAUAAGCAUUAAAGAAAUUAGAAUGGUAGUCAGGUAUCUUGUCCCUCAAAUAUCAGUGUCUUUAUAGUUUUAAGGAUGAGCUCUAACAGACUUUCAAGGAACAAUGAGUUUCUAUUGCUUUCCAUGUUGUUGCAGAAAAUGUAAAAUGAGCCUAGCAUGAUCAUGAUUCCAAAACCAGAUAGGAAAAGGAGUCUAUGGACCCAUGUUAAUUGUGAAUCCCAAGUAAAGGACGUCUACUUCAGCUUAAGAUUGAGAAACUUGCAAGAAUAUGCCACUCUCAUCCUAAUAAUAAGAACAAUCUGAGAAAUCAUGUUGUUUUUAAACCCAAUUGAUAGCUGAAAAAGAAAACAACAACAAACAAACAAACAAACUAAUGAACAGAAAUCCAGAAAGUGAUGAGCCCUUCAUAGGAAAGAUGAGAUCCACAAACUGCUCUCAUCCUUGGCAUGUAGCAGGAAGAGGAAGAAUCUGCCUGAGACACAGGGAAAAAGAAAUCUGUUGAAAUGUUAACAGAUGUUAAAGCCCAAGUGUGAGCUGGUAUUAUAUGAUGAUUUAGUAUCUCUAGGAUCCUCAGACACAGAGAGGCUCUCUGUGCCCCUCUGUUUUCACAGUCCUUUAUGGAAUCUCAGGAGAAAGAUUGAGGUGAGGGAGCAGGUGAGUUGAGAGAGACCUCAGGACUCCUGCUGGCACAAGCAUGAGAGAUCUUGCUAGUCAACUACAGUCUAAGUGGAUUCAGACCCCAUACUAGUAGCCUAACAGAAGGAGCAUUUCUUUUUUUGCAUAUAAAUGUGAUUUACUUCAUUCUCUACUGUUCUUUUACACACAGUGCCUAGUAGUCAAUCCAAAAUUAUGGGGCAUGAAAAGAAAUAAGAAAAUUUGACCCAUUUCUUAAUAAAAUGUGGAAGAAAAGAACAGGAUAAAGAAAAGAGAAGCUAGCCUACGAGAUAUUAAGAUGUUAUAAGUCUUAAUGCUAUGAUAGAUCCUAGGUAACAAUGAAAACAGCGUCAUGUUGAACUAAGAAUAGACAUAUUGAUCAGUGAACAGAACAGAUCUUACCCAGAAUGAUAGUGUUUUUCUGCGCAGCUGAUGAUUGUUACAUGACACGUGGGGACACAACCAAUGUAUAAACAGUAAUACGACAUUAGAGCAGUCCACAGAGAAAUUUAAUGCCUUUCAUUUUUCCUAAACCACACUCUGUGACCCAUUUUCUGACCUAGAAUAUGUUGUGUCUCAAUAAAGGGCAAGGAGACCAACGUCACUGUUAACUAGUCUUUGAAUAAUUAACAGGGCUGACAGUUCAGAUCUCAGUAAAUAGUCUCCAGUACUUUUAUGUGAAAUGUUAAUUACAGCAUUUCAGGCCUCACUAGUUAAUUGAAUUGUUAGCCAGAGAAUUUAACAUUUACUUUCUAUUGACCACAUGCUGUGUUAGAGGAAUGAGAAUCUGCUCUCUGGGGAUGGUUGUACUAAAGCAGCAUUCUUUUUUCUUAGUAGCAAUGCGCAGGAAGCAUCAUAAAAACACAACAGUAGCCUGGUAGAGCUUGAGAACUGAGCAAUUAACCAUGGCCUCUUCAUGGUAGUUAUUCUGCUGUAACUUAAAGCUCUGCCAGAUAUUUGCCACUAUCAUCUUUGGAUCGAAUGAUGGAAAAUGCAUAUGUCAACAUUUUCUGCAGUGGGAAGGGAGGCUUUUCAAGUACUUUGUGUAGUAAGUGUGCUGACCUAGUUAUUUUUCUAAAAUUGGCAGAUGCUCAUAUGUCUCCUUGAGAAACUCAGUAUCUUCUUAGGCUAUAGAAGGAUAACACAGAUUUCUGCAUAGACUAUGAGAGAACUUUUGAUUUUGCAAUAACUACCCAUUUUUCAAAUACCUUCUUUGUGCACAUAUACCUGCCAUUGUGCUCAUAGUAAUAUCUAAUAUUACUAAAUCUUUACUAAGUUUUAAGGCUUUUAUGUGCAAUCCCCCUAACAACCUGGUGAGAUAGGGUCUGUUAUUAUUCUCAUUUUUAAGAUGAAGAAACAGUGGUAUUAAAAGGCAAAUAAAUGGUAGAUCUGCCAUUAGAAUCCAGGCUAAUAUCUUUGUUCAUGCUCCUAAACUACAUGCAAAAAGGAGAAUGGCAUUUCAGAAAUGGAAUAGCAGGUUAAAAAAAAAAACCCUAAUCUGGGGAAAAAAAUGGUGAGUUCUAGAACCUAAAUGGAGAAAAAUGUCUAGAGUGCAAGACACACUGGUCUCCAUUUAAUUCCUAGAACAAGGGUAAAGUGCGUAUGCCGGUAAGAUUGGAAUGGAAACUGGGAUCAAAUAAUUCGGGGCUUUAAAGAUUAUGAUAAGGAAUUUAGAUGUUGCUCUCAGAAAAAUAGGAAACCACCAUUUCUCAAUUUUAAAAGAUGACUCAUGCAGUUAUGUGGAAAAUGGGCUGUCUGCUUCUUUUUGUAAAUAGAUUUUAUAGAAACACAGGCACAUCUGUUUGUUUACAUAUUGUCCAUGGCUGCUUUCAUGCUAUCAUGGCAGAGGUGAGUAGUAGAAAUAGAGACAGGAUGGCCCAGAAAGCCUAAACUAUUGGCUAUCUGGAACUUUGUAGGAAAAUUUGUGGACCUCAGAGGGUAGAGGAUAAAGUCGAGAGAGACCAUUUAAGAAGCUAUUUAAAUGCACACAGUGAAGAGAUAAUAGGGGGAUGGCUGCGGAGGUGAAGAGAGGACUUAUUUAAGAUAUGGUUUUUUUCUUUUCUUUCUUUUUGUUUUUUUUGAGAUGGAGUCUUGCUCUUGUCACCCUUGUCACCAAGGCUGAAGUGCAAUGGCAUUAUCGGCACACUGCAACUUCCGCCUCCCAGGUUCAAGCAAUUCUCCUGCCUCAGCCUCCCCAGUAGCUGGGAUUACAGGCACCCACCACCAUGCCCGGCUAAUUUUUGUAGUUUUAGUAAAGAUGG
Molecule: long non-coding RNA, 3589 nt
Filed under: Homo sapiens (human)
Lineage: Eukaryota; Metazoa; Chordata; Mammalia; Primates; Hominidae
Description: HSALNT0349003
Source: RNAcentral